This 522-nucleotide long non-coding RNA is filed under the name Mytilus galloprovincialis (Mediterranean mussel). Lineage: Eukaryota; Metazoa; Mollusca; Bivalvia; Mytilida; Mytilidae. The record is from RNAcentral.
CAGAUGCUCCGCAGGGCGCAGCUUUAUACGACCGCAGAGGUUGAACCCUGAACGGUUGGGGCAAGUAUGGACACAACAUUCAAGCUGGAUUCAGCUCUAAAUUUGGAUUGUGAUUAAAUAGUUGACACAGCAUAGGUUUCUGACACAGAAUGAAUGUGGUCUAAUAAACUUAAAAUUUUUUUUUUUUGCCUUUGAGCAAUUCACUAUGCUGUUGAAUAUUAAUCCUCUCAAAAAAAUGUUUGAAGAAAUUUUCUUUUUAUUUAUGAAAUCUGAAAUGAGAAAAAUUUAACCCCCCCCCCCCCCCAUUUUUUUUUCACAUCCCCCUUUCCCUUUUCCCAAAACUGAUCUCAAUUCAAAUUUCUAAUGGAGUUUGCAACAAUAACUACUCAUUUAAAUACAUCAUAAAAUAUUAAAAUGUAACAAAAGGUGCUUGUUAUCACUGAAUGGUAAAGAUUGUUUUAAUUUAUCAGUUGGUAGUAAAAGUGAAUAUACAUUGUAUAUUGUAUAAAACAAUGAUUUAAG